GCUGGGUGUGGUGGUGUGCACCUGUAAUCCCAGAUACUCAGGAGGCUGAGACAGGAGGAUUGCAAGGUAGAGGCCAGCCCAGGCAACUUAGCAGGACUCUGUCUUAA
This 107-nucleotide small RNA is filed under the name Marmota monax (woodchuck). Lineage: Eukaryota; Metazoa; Chordata; Mammalia; Rodentia; Sciuridae. The record is from RNAcentral.